Molecule: small RNA, 117 nt
Filed under: Rhizobium etli
Lineage: Bacteria; Pseudomonadati; Pseudomonadota; Alphaproteobacteria; Hyphomicrobiales; Rhizobiaceae
Also listed under: 1 other name
Description: miscellaneous other RNA
Source: RNAcentral
UGGAAAUCCGGCGCGGUCGCGCCACUGUGACCAGUGUGUCGAAAGCUCUUCACGCUGGAAGUCAGACCCUGCCGCACAACACUCUUUCGACUGAACGCGUCAUUCCGGAGGAAUACA